RNAcentral lists this ribosomal RNA (483 nucleotides) under uncultured bacterium. Its description in RNAcentral is "partial 16S ribosomal RNA". It matches the Rfam family "Bacterial small subunit ribosomal RNA", at positions 30 to 506 of the family's 1533-position model. The record is from RNAcentral.
AUUGAACGCUGGCGGCAGGCCUAACACAUGCAAGUCGAGCGGAUGAAGGGAGCUUGCUCCUGGAUUCAGCGGCGGACGGGUGAGUAAUGCCUAGGAAUCUGCCUGGUAGUGGGGGAUAACGUCCGGAAACGGGCGCUAAUACCGCAUACGUCCUGAGGGAGAAAGUGGGGGAUCUUCGGACCUCACGCUAUCAGAUGAGCCUAGGUCGGAUUAGCUAGUUGGUGGGGUAAAGGCCUACCAAGGCGACGAUCCGUAACUGGUCUGAGAGGAUGAUCAGUCACACUGGAGCUGAGACACGGUCCAGGCUCCUACGGGAGGCAGCAGUGGGGAAUAUUGGACGAUGGGCGAAAGCCUGAUCCAGCCAUGCCGCGUGUGUGAAGAAGGGCUUCGGAUUGUAAAGCACUUUAAGUUGGGAGGAAGGGCAGUAAGUUAAUACCUUGCUGUUUUGACGUUACCAACAGAAUAAGCACCGGCUAACUUCGU